GAUGAACGCUGGCGGCGUGCUUAACACAUGCAAGUCGAACGGUGAAGGCGGAGCUUGCUCUGCUGGAUCAGUGGCGAACGGGUGAGUAACACGUGAGCAAUCUGCCCCUGACUCUGGGAUAAGCGCUGGAAACGGCGUCUAAUACUGGAUACGAGCUGCGAAGGCAUCUUCAGCAGCUGGAAAGAAGUUCGGUCAGGGAUGAGCUCGCGGCCUAUCAGCUUGUUGGUGAGGUAAUGGCUCACCAAGGCGUCGACGGGUAGCCGGCCUGAGAGGGUGACCGGCCACACUGGGACUGAGACACGGCCCAGACUCCUACGGGAGGCAGCAGUGGGGAAUAUUGCACAAUGGGCGAAAGCCUGAUGCAGCAACGCCGCGUGAGGGACGACGGCCUUCGGGUUGUAAACCUCUUUUAGCAGGGAAGAAGCGAAAGUGACGGUACCUGCAGAAAAAGCGCCGGCUAACUACGUG
This 468-nucleotide ribosomal RNA is filed under the name uncultured bacterium. RNAcentral describes it as "partial 16S ribosomal RNA". It matches the Rfam family "Bacterial small subunit ribosomal RNA", at positions 28 to 507 of the family's 1533-position model. The record is from RNAcentral.